This 2057-nucleotide long non-coding RNA is filed under the name Nicotiana benthamiana. RNAcentral describes it as "long non-coding RNA (NBEN_LNC026241)". Lineage: Eukaryota; Viridiplantae; Streptophyta; Magnoliopsida; Solanales; Solanaceae. The record is from RNAcentral.
AGGCAACCCUGCCCAGUCCAAAACCGACUCAAACCCCUUAAAACCAAAACCAUUGAUCAAUAAUGAUCAAUUGCUCAUAAAACCCCACCCAUUUCCUUAUAUCCCUUCUCCCUAACCCUAAUCCUCAUUUUCUCUCUCACCCGCUGCCCUGGAACCCUCCUUCUUCUCUGAAGAACCCUAAAUCGCCGCUACUCCCUAAAUCCCUCUCCUAGUGGGAUUCACCUCACAUUUACUUGCCAUAUCUAUGGAUUUUUUAUACAUGUUGUUUCUCCACGGUAUUACUUAGUACUUGCCUAAACAUGGAAACUACUAUCUCUCCGAUUUUGUCCGAAUGAGUCAUAUUUCUUGAAUCUGGACCAUAUUGUCCGAAAGUGAUUUGCACUUUCUCUAAGAUAAACUAGGGUUUACUGAUUUUCUCUCUUAAAUCGAUUUCAAAUUGAUUUUCAUGUUUUCUUUCCUUGUUUAUUAUUUAUUUUACUUUGUUUCCUUAUAAAUUUGCCUGAUUUUUGACUAUACAAACCUCCUCAUUUUUUCCUACUGGUACAACUUUUAUAAUCGAUCCUUUUACUAAAAUUUGAGGUUUUGCUAUUCUAUUGUUUGAUAUUAUGUAUUGGCCGGCUAAAAUCCAAGGCCAUUAACAUCUAAAACUCGUUCCUGGUGCGAGAACUGCCUGAGCUCAUAGAGGCUCUUGGGAACAUUGACACGUUAGGGAUUGUGGAUUUUCUAUGGAAAUUUAUUUUUUAUUGUUCUUCGCUUAACUGGUGAGUUACUAGACUUUUUAAUUUCAUUCCUAAGCAUCUAUGGUUUGUACAUAUUUUCAUCCCUGAAGGUAGUCAACUCAAUAUGUUUUCCUAGGCCGUAUUUAUGUGUGAUUCUGUUUGGUUUUUUAGGUCCCAUUAACUUUUAGUUUCAAGCAUUCCAGGUUCUAUUGAAUUACGACCAGUUGAUGUGUUAAAAUUACUAUUGCUUAAGGCUCUUUCUGUGUUUAAUUUAUUCCUUUGUUUGAAUAUGCCUUUUUGCAUAAUUUUCAUUUCUUUUUGUCUACUACUGGAUUAAGUGAAAAACAUGAAUGUAUACACUCACUGUAUGGCUAAACUUGUUUUAGAUUUCUGUGGUAGUCUGUUUAUCUGACAUGUUUUGACCCUGCUCUCUAUCAGUAUGCUCUUUUAGUAUGAUUAACCCCCUUCUUGUUUCACCAGUAAUGGUAAUCUGCCUUUUUCUCAUGCUACCAUAUUACUUACUUAGCAUAAAUAUGAAUCUUUAUAGGGUAAUCAGUCUACUAAUUGUGGUAUACUUCACUAUGAUUUGCACUCUGUGACCUCUUAUCUCCUAAGAUUGGUUUUGUACCAUGUAGCAUCUUAACAUGUUUGAUUUAGAUCACUCCAAUACGAGUCUGACUAUUAUGGUUUUAUGUUGUUUCUGCUAUUAUUUUCAGAUAAUACAUUAACUCUAUGGAAAUCCCCCUUUUACUUGAAUGAAUCGUUGCUAAGUCAUGUGCUCUAAACUACUUUCAUUCCAUUCUGGUUUUUGGAAGACAAACAUUUUAUUUUUGAUAACUAGGACCUUACUCCUAUGUUAACAUGUUUUCAAUAUGUUUUGGUUCAUUUGCCAGUCUUUCCUUUCUGUAAUUAUCAAUAUGUGUAUCCCUCAAUUAUGUCCAAGUACUACGUAAUGUGGCAUAAGAUUAGACCUAACCUAAUCUAGACCUUUAAUUGCAACUAGUUCAACCUAUGUUUUGCAAACAUAUUUCUCCUCCUAACUCCAAUGAUAACUGUUUAUGUGGUACUUUGAUUAUGUGAACCUGGCUUGAAUUUGUUGGUCUACUUGACUAGUUGUGCUGUAUGAUCAUUCUGGGAAUUUUUAUCCUUCCUCCCUACCUGUUACUUUGGUAUUCUGAAUUCCUAUUCGUAGCCGGCUGAAAACCAAGUCUACAUAGGUUCUUUGUUGGCCUCUCCAGUGUGAGCACUGCUCGGAGUCCAUUUGAGGCCCUCGUGAACUCUGACACACUAAGGGGUUUGUCCUUUGUCAUUCCUCUAACCCCCUCCCCCCCCCCCCNN